Vespula pensylvanica (western yellowjacket) is the source of this 457-nucleotide long non-coding RNA. RefSeq lists it as uncharacterized. The transcript has 3 exons. Lineage: Eukaryota; Metazoa; Arthropoda; Insecta; Hymenoptera; Vespidae. The record is from RefSeq and is a predicted model, not a curated record.
CGCAUAAGCAGCACGCGAGACACACGCAUAGUUUAUUCCUAUACCUUCAUUUGCUUCGUUAAUUUUUUGUUGUAAAUCUUGUAUUUGUGUAUUACGCAAAGUUAAAAAUUCACUACUCUUGGAUCCUGAUUGACCACUGGUUUAUUCUUAAUUUUUCGCGCACGGUCAGCAUACCUUAAAGUGCUAAGUGUUUCAUCCAUAUUAUAAUCUAUGUAAGAAACAUAUUAUAUAAAAUUUCUACAGAUAGAAAUGGAAUCAGUUACGCAUUGGAUAUUUAAAAAUCAAACACGCACCAAUUAAACUAGGCUGGCCAACUUUACGUUCAAGAAAAGAACUUUCGCUGCGCUCCUAUAGAGGCGCUGGUAUUCAUCAUACGGUUUGGACCGUGUUCUGAAAAUAUAUCUAGCGCAUAUUUAUAAGAAAAGAGUCAAUAAUUGUUGAUAACAGAGAAUUUAAU